GAAAGUAAAGAAGGGCGCAUGGCGGAUGCCUUGGCUCUCGGAGGCGAUGAAGGACGUGAUAAGCUGCGAUAAGCUUUGGGGAGGUGCAAAUGACCUUUGAUCCAGAGAUUUCCGAAUGGGACAACCCAAUAUCUUGAAGAGGUAUUAUCUUACUAUGUAAGAGGCUAACGCAGGGAACUGAAACAUCUUAGUACCUGCAGGAAAAGAAAAUAAACAAUGAUUCCCCCAGUAGUGGCGAGCGAACGGGGAACAGCCCAAACCAUCCAUGUUACGGCAUGGGUGGGGUUGUAGGACUACGCCGUUGCAUGAAGACAUCAGAGAAGAACUUUCUGGAAAGAAAGACCAUAGAGCAUGACAGUUGCGUAUUCGAAUGUUGUCGAAGCAUAGUAGUAUCCUGAGUAGCGCGGAGCACGAGGAAUUCUGCGUGAAUCUGCCGGGACCAUCCGGUAAGGCUAAAUACUCCCGAGAGACCGAUAGUGAACCAGUACCGUGAGGGAAAGGUGAAAAGCACUUCGAACAGAAGAGUGAAAUAGUUCCUGAAACCGUGCGCCUACAAGCGGUCGGAGCUCGUUAAUGAGUGACGGCGUGCCUUUUGCAUAAUGAACCUACGAGUUGCCUUUGCCGGCAAGGUUAAGUGUGACGACACACGUAUCCGAAGCGAAAGCGAGUCUGAACAGGGCGUAUAGUCGGCAGUGGCAGACGCGAAACCAAGUGAUCUACCCUUGGCCAGGUUGAAGGCUGGGUAACACCAGCUGGAGGACCGCACCAAUAAGCGUUGAAAAGCUUCUGGAUGAGCUGAGGGUAGGGGUGAAAGGCUAAUCAAACUUGGAGAUAGCUCGUACUCCCCGAAAUGCAUUUAGGUGCAGCCUUGCGGGUUACUGAUGUGAGGUAGAGCGACUGAUAAGAUGCGAGGGCUUCACCGCCUAUCAAGUCUUGACAAACUCCGAAUGCGCAUCAGUUCUACCGCAGGAGUGAGGGCAUGGGUGCUAAGGUCCGUGCCCGAGAGGAGAAGAAUCCGGACCACCUGCUAAGGUCCCGAAAUGACAGCUAAGUUAAACUAACGAAGUCUGACUGCUAAGACAGCUAGGAUGUUGGCUUGGAAGCAGCCAUUCAUUUAAAGAGUGCGUAACAGCUCACUAGUCGAGGAGUCGGGCGUGGAUAAUAAUCGGGUAUCAAGUUGUCUACCGAAGCAGUGGGAUCAUUAAUAUGAUCGGUAGGGGAGCAUUCCAGUCGGCGUCGAAGGCGUACCGUGAGGUAUUCUGGAGCGUCUGGAAAAGCAAAUGUAGGUAUAAGUAACGAUAAAGGGGGCGGGAAACCCCCUCGCCGAAAGACUAAGGUUUCCUGAUCAACGCUAAUCGGAUCAGGGUCAGUCGGGUCCUAAGGCUCAGCCGAACGGCGAUGCCGAUGGCAGAAACGGUUAAUAUUCCGUUACUACCUUCAGGAGUGACGUGGAGACGCAGUAGUGACAGUGCCGCCAUCUGACGGAAUAGAUGGUUGAAGGGUGUAGGAGUCGAUCAUGGCAGGCAAAUCCACCAUGAGAUCCGAACCUGAUAGUAUGCCGCGUCCUUCGGGACAAGGCAAUAGUGCGCGUAAGCAUGCUGCCGAGAAAAUCCGCUAAACUUAAUCCUGGAGGUACCCGUACCGCAAACGGACACACGUAGUCGGGAUGAAUAUUCUAAGGCGCUUGAGUGAUUCACGGUUAAGGAACUAGGCAAACUGACCCUGUAACUUCGGGAUAAAGGGUCCCUACCCUUUUAUGGGAGGGCGCAGAGAAUCGGUCCAGGCAACUGUUUAACAAAAACACAGGGCUGUGCCAAAUCGAAAGAUCCAGUAUACAGCCUGACACCUGCCCGGUGCUGGAAGGUUAAGAGGAGAUGUCAUCGAUAAGAGAAGCGUUGAAUUGAAGCCCCAGUAAACGGCGGCCGUAACUAUAACGGUCCUAAGGUAGCGAAAUUCCUUGUCGGGUAAGUUCCGACCUGCACGAAUGGUGUAAUGAUCUGGACGCUGUCUCAACCGUGAGCUCAGUGAAAUUGUAGUAUCGGUGAAGAUGCCGAUUACCCGCGAUGGGACGAAAAGACCCCGUGAACCUUUACUAUAGCUUAUCAUUGAAUCUGGGCACGUGAUGUGUAGGAUAGGUCGGAGGCUUUGAAGCAGGUACGCCAGUAUUUGUGGAGCCGCUGUUGAAAUACGACCCUUUAUUUGUUUGGAUUCUAACCCGUGGAUACGGGGACAUUGAUUGGUGGGUAGUUUGACUGGGGUGGUCGCCUCCAAAAGCGUAACGGAGGCUUCUAAAGGUGCCCUCCGGCCGAUUGGUAACCGGCCUUAGAGUGUAAUGGCAUAAGGGCGCUUGACUGGGAGACUGACAAGUCGAUCAGGUAGGAAACUAGAGCAUAGUGAUCCGGUGUUUCCGUAUGGAAGGGACAUCGCUCAAAGGAUAAAAGGUACUCCGGGGAUAACAGGCUGAUCCCUCCCAAGAGCUCAUAUCGACGGAGUGGUUUGGCACCUCGAUGUCGGCUCGUCACAUCCUGGGGCUGGAGAAGGUCCCAAGGGUUGGGCUGUUCGCCCAUUAAAGUGGCACGCGAGCUGGGUUCAGAACGUCGUGAGACAGUUCGGUCUCUAUCUAUCGUGGGCGUAUGAAAUUUGCGUGGCUCUGACACUAGUACGAGAGGACCGUGUUGGACAGACCUCUGGUUUGCCGGUUGUGCCGCCAGGUGCAUUGCCGGGUAUCUAAGUCUGGAUCGGAUAAGUGCUGAAAGCAUCUAAGUACGAAGCCGGCCACAAGAUUAGAUUUCUCAGGGUCGUUGUAGACUACGACGUUGAUAGGAUGCAGGUGUAAAGAUGGAGACAUCAAAGCCGAGCAUUACUAAUUGCCCGUUCACUUUCCUUA
RNAcentral lists this ribosomal RNA (2887 nucleotides) under synthetic metagenome. Its description in RNAcentral is "bacterial LSU rRNA". It matches the Rfam family "Bacterial large subunit ribosomal RNA". The record is from RNAcentral.